This 733-nucleotide ribosomal RNA is filed under the name uncultured beta proteobacterium. RNAcentral describes it as "bacterial SSU rRNA". It matches the Rfam family "Bacterial small subunit ribosomal RNA", at positions 45 to 776 of the family's 1533-position model. The record is from RNAcentral. Lineage: Bacteria; Pseudomonadati; Pseudomonadota; Betaproteobacteria.
UGCUUUACACAUGCAGUCGAACGGUAACAGGUCUUCGGAUGCUGACGAGUGGCGAACGGGUGAGUAAUACAUCGGAACGUGCCUAGUAGUGGGGGAUAACUACUCGAAAGAGUAGCUAAUACCGCAUGAGAUCUACGGAUGAAAGCAGGGGACCUUCGGGCCUUGUGCUACUAGAGCGGCUGAUGGCAGAUUAGGUAGUUGGUGGGGUAAAGGCUUACCAAGCCUGCGAUCUGUAGCUGGUCUGAGAGGACGACCAGCCACACUGGGACUGAGACACGGCCCAGACUCCUACGGGAGGCAGCAGUGGGGAAUUUUGGACAAUGGGCGAAAGCCUGAUCCAGCAAUGCCGCGUGCAGGAUGAAGGCCCUCGGGUUGUAAACUGCUUUUGUACGGAACGAAAAGCCUGGGGCUAAUAUCCCCGGGUCAUGACGGUACCGUAAGAAUAAGCACCGGCUAACUACGUGCCAGCAGCCGCGGUAAUACGUAGGGUGCAAGCGUUAAUCGGAAUUACUGGGCGUAAAGCGUGCGCAGGCGGUUUUGUAAGACAGUGGUGAAAUCCCCGGGCUCAACCUGGGAACUGCCAUUGUGACUGCAAGGCUAGAGUGCGGCAGAGGGGGAUGGAAUUCCGCGUGUAGCAGUGAAAUGCGUAGAUAUGCGGAGGAACACCGAUGGCGAAGGCAAUCCCCUGGGCCUGCACUGACGCUCAUGCACGAAAGCGUGGGGAGCAAACAGG